Long non-coding RNA from Canis lupus familiaris (dog), 887 nucleotides. RefSeq lists it as uncharacterized. The transcript is spliced from 5 exons. Lineage: Eukaryota; Metazoa; Chordata; Mammalia; Carnivora; Canidae. The record is from RefSeq and is a predicted model, not a curated record.
AGGGGACGCGCCGCCGGGGGAGCGCAGUGUGGGCCUGAGCGUCGUCGCGCUCGCGGGUGGCGGCCGAGCCUCCGAAGGUUCUGGAAGGUCAGUGAUUCCCGACCAGCACCCUUGCCCCUGAGGCUCUGCUGUGGGGGCUCAGCCGUCCCCAAUGUGCACCUCGGGGUCCGCUGAUCGUGUGCAGGCACUGGAGUGGCAGGAGGUUCCCGGGGCGCACUGCUGAUCCUAUGCAAGUUCCAGUCCCUGCAGGAAACGAUGCUCUUCUGGGCCUUGCUCCUCGCUGUCGGGUGGCCCGAGGUCACCCAUGGAAUUGAACAUUGGCCCUAUAAUAUGAGAUGUUAUGAUUGUGCAGUUGUCAACAAUUUCUAUUGUGCCACAACUAGGGCGUGUGAGGAGGAUCGGAGGCGCUGCCUGACAAUCUCUGUUCGUUUGAAUGAACGUGAAAUAAUUGUUUACAAGAACUGUACAUACAACUGCACGUUUGUAUACCCAUCUGAAGUACCUCCUGAAGCCCCAAGAGCAAAGUAUUUCAAAACUAAUAGUUACUAUUUUGUUCGUUGUUGUAAUACUAUUAAUUGCAAUGAAGGUGGACCUUUAAGUCUGGAUAAUGAUAUAAUCCUUCAGAAGCCAAUUGAAGAGCCUUUAUCGGGAAUUGUGCACUGGGGGGAGUACAGGUUUUAUCUGACUGUUGCUUCCAUCCUAGUCAGCAACACACUGACAUGAGAGGCCCUCUUGGGGGGGGGGUCUGGUCUCUCCCCCAUUCCUCAGAGCAAGUUCACUCCUCUUCCUCCCUGUGAGCCAGGGACACUGACCCACCGGGCUCCCCGUUGGUGGCUAACCCCUUUCCAGCUUAUUUCAAGAAAAGAAUAAAGAACAUUAUUGUUGGG